RNAcentral lists this ribosomal RNA (476 nucleotides) under uncultured bacterium. Its description in RNAcentral is "partial 16S ribosomal RNA". It matches the Rfam family "Bacterial small subunit ribosomal RNA", at positions 28 to 523 of the family's 1533-position model. The record is from RNAcentral.
GAUGAACGCUGGCGGCGUGCUUAACACAUGCAAGUCGAGCGAGUGAGUUCUUCGGAACGAUCUAGCGGCGGACGGGUGAGUAACACGUGGGCAACCUGCCUCAUAGAGGGGAAUAGCCUCCCGAAAGGGAGAUUAAUACCGCAUAAAAUUAUCGAGUGGCAUCACAUGAUAAUCAAAGGAGUAAUUCGCUAUGAGAUGGGCCCGCGGCGCAUUAGCUAGUUGGUGAGGUAACGGCUCACCAAGGCGACGAUGCGUAGCCGACCUGAGAGGGUGAUCGGCCACAUUGGGACUGAGACACGGCCCAGACUCCUACGGGAGGCGGCAGUGGGGAAUAUUGCACAAUGGGGGAAACCCUGAUGCAGCAACGCCGCGUGAGUGAUGAAGGUCUUCGGAUUGUAAAGCUCUGUCUUUGGGGACGAUAAUGACGGUACCCAAGGAGGAAGCCACGGCUAACUACGUGCCAGCCGCCGCCGUAA